GCAAACUCCACCAAGUGUAGAAAAAACUCAGCCUGAUGUCCUGUUUGACAAACUGACCUGCGGGUCACAACCUGAGUUUAUUGAUCCGUGGGGCCUUGUCUGGGUGCCGGGCAUGUUUUCUGGACUUUGGUUUCAGCUGCAUUCCUCACUUCUCAAAGAGGGGGUGUGGAUUUCUGCUCGGAGUAACCACUGGGAAGGAAGUAAUGUUCAUUAAGUGUGCAGGCAGUGCAGGACGAAGCAUGCUCAGUGCAAAAAGCUUCGCUCCCCUGCCUGUCAAGCCUGAGGUUUGAACUCGUUCCAGAAUGCCGGAUUUACUUUUCAGGAAGAAACAGCACCUGGCUGGGCUGCGCUUUUCCCUUCCCUCCUCCUCCUCCUCGGAGUGCAAAUAAUGUUCUUUUGAUGCUUUCCUGCCAGUGGGAAUCUCGCCCUGGAGAAGGAGACAAAACUUUGCUACCUGUGAAACGAAGACUGCUUAGGUAGCACUGGAAAUGAAAGCAAUUCUAUUUCCCACACAGGCUCCACAAAUGUAAGUAGAAAUACAAUUUAUUUUGCCAUAGGUGGAAGCGUGAGUCUAACGAUGAAAGCACAAGACACGUGUUAACUUUGUGUGGGGCUUCUAAAAAAGCAAACAAACAAGGAGGUCAGGGGAAAGUUACUUAUUUGACAUUUUCCUGCUGGCUUUGCAGAAAAUCAGGGUUCAUUUGGAUUUAGAUCCAGCUGCAUUUGGGCCAAAAUUGUCUCUGGAGAAGUCUGGGAGGGACAGGAGAGGAGAAAAGCUUUUAGCUCUGUCUAUUGAGAAACCUCCUGGGCAGCAAUUUCAGAAACUCCUGCGGGACUGAGAAGUUUAACUCCUAUUUUUAGAAGUAUUGUGGGAGCUUAAAUCAGGCUUCAAAGCUUUUAGGAACCUGGAAAGGCAGGUGGGAACCCCGUGGGAUCUGUGGAGUGUCUGAACAGGUUCUGAGCCUCACUCUGAGAGUUAAUACUUAACCCACCACAGGGACAUUAGCAAAACCCACUUGACUCCUGCCUCAAUCUUCCCAUAUCCAAAUCCUUGUAAAUCUUCUGUCUCCUGAUUUCAGAGGAACUGGCAUUCAGAAAUUCUGAGUUUGAGGCUCUCAAUGGUUUUGAAUGUAUUAUCAAUUGC
RNAcentral lists this long non-coding RNA (1144 nucleotides) under Parus major (Great Tit). RNAcentral's name for it is "lncRNA (ENSPMJG00000008646.1)". The record is from RNAcentral. Lineage: Eukaryota; Metazoa; Chordata; Aves; Passeriformes; Paridae.